CAAUAGCGUAUAUUAAAGUUGUUGCGGUUAAAAAGCUCGUAGUUGGAUUUGUGGCGUACGGUGUGUUCCGGGCACUUGUUGUCUGAGUAACCUGCUGUUGCCAUCCUUGGGUGGAACCUGUGUGGCAUUAGGUUGUCGUGCAGGGGAUGCCCAUCAUUUACUGUGAAAAAAUUAGAGUGUUCAAAGAAGGCUUAUGCCGUUGAAUAAAUUAGCAUGGAAUAAUGAGAUAGGACUUUUUUGCUAUUUUGUUGGUUUGCGCAAGAAGGUAAUGAUUAAUAGGGACAGUUGGGGGUAUUCGUAUUCCAUUGUCAGAGGUGAAAUUCUUGGAUUUUUGGAAGACGAACUACUGCGAAAGCAUUUACCAAGGAUGUUUUCAUUAA
Molecule: ribosomal RNA, 380 nt
Filed under: uncultured eukaryote
Lineage: Eukaryota
Description: partial 18S ribosomal RNA
Rfam family: Eukaryotic small subunit ribosomal RNA
Source: RNAcentral